Oryzias melastigma (Indian medaka) is the source of this 1286-nucleotide long non-coding RNA. RefSeq lists it as uncharacterized. NCBI's taxonomy places the organism in Eukaryota, Metazoa, Chordata, Actinopteri, Beloniformes, Adrianichthyidae. The transcript is spliced from 2 exons. The record is from RefSeq and is a predicted model, not a curated record.
CGGGUCCAAGACGACACGAGAGCUUCAGGUUUGGAGUAUUUAUUACACAGAUUACAGGGUACAGGUUACACAGGUACAGCACUACAGUGGUAAAUGCUUCGCUCCACAACAACAUUCAAGUCUGUUCGUCGUACAUCGAGUUAGUCAGAGCAAGUUUUACACUCGAGUUAGUAGAAGCGAGUUCUGAUCCAGAUGCCCAGUUUGACCCAAAGAGACCCGGAUGGUUUCAUGUUCAUCUCUCAAAUCAAAAGAGGUUUUUUGUAGCUUCAGAAAAUCUCAGAACUAGAUCAUUUUAGAAUAAAAACAUAAGAAUAUCAAGAUAAAAUCUGGCUGCUUUUAACUUCUCAAAAAUAUAAAAAUAAAAUCUCUACUAUGAUGUCAACGAACGUGAAAUAAAAACAUGAAAAUUAAUUUAAAUCAGAAACUUGAACUAAAAAAAUGUUUUGCAUUUAAUGACAUUUGAAAGACUGGAGUUAACCUCAGACUGUUGUCUACUGUUGAGUUUAACUGUAAACUGAAGGCAUUCAUUCAACAUGAACCACAUCAACAGUCAGAAAACCAGAUUAUCCAGCUGUAAAAACGUCUGAACUGAUAAAAAACCGUCAAGUUUCACCCAACUGUGUCUAAAGCAGAGACAGAAACCCGUCCGGACACGACUACGGACCUCCAACGUUUGAUACCCAUCAGCACACGACUCCAGUUCCAACUGAAUCGAUACAGAACCACGAAAUCUAUCGAAGGAUUUUCACUUCCAUCCAAAUCACAACAGGAAACACUGGUUGAUGCACAGCAGGUUCUGGUUCUGAUCCUGUGUGAGGAAUCAUGGUUCUAGGAUGCAGAUGAAGAGCCUCCAUUAACGUCCCAUUCUUGUUUUUCACACGAGACCAAAUGAUCUGAACAAAAAAAGUCCAUUUGACACCUCAUGAUCAAGAACUUUAACAGCAUCUUCACGUUUACUGAGCGACGUCAGAGUUCUGCACGGAUUACAGCAAAGUCCAGAUGAUUACAGGAACCAGAGCAGACUUCAGUCUGGAGAAUCUCCUCAGCAGAAGAUCUGGACUCAGACCUCAACGUUCUGAAACGACUUCUGGAUUAUCAUAUGUCCAUGUGGUGUGACUGGAGCCUAUCCAGCUGCUGUCAGGUGAAGGCGGGGCUUACCACCAACCACCCACACCUGAGGGACAAAGAGUCAGCAGGUGACCUCAGCUUGAGAUGUGUGGGCAACACAGAAACUUUGCAGAGGUGCCAGUUGUCCUCCUUUGGAACCAUAAAGGUCUAAAAUCAGA